UACGAAGGGGGCUAGCGUUGUUCGGAAUCACUGGGCGUAAAGCGCGCGUAGGUGGAUGUGCAAGUCAGAGGUGAAAUCCCGGGGCUUAACCCUGGAACUGCCUUUGAAACUGCACAUCUGGAGUGUCGGAGGGGAUAGUGGAAUUCCUAGUGUAGAGGUGAAAUUCGUAGAGACUAGGAGGAACACCAGUGGCGAAGGCGACUAUCUGGACGACAACUGACACUGAGGUGCGAAAGCGUGGGGAGCAAACAGG
This 253-nucleotide ribosomal RNA is filed under the name uncultured bacterium. RNAcentral's name for it is "partial 16S ribosomal RNA". It matches the Rfam family "Bacterial small subunit ribosomal RNA", at positions 524 to 776 of the family's 1533-position model. The record is from RNAcentral.